UCCAGACUCCUACGGGAGGCAGCAGUGAGGAAUAUUGGUCAAUGGCCGGAAGGCUGAACCAGCCAAGUCGCGUGAGGGAAUAAGGCCCUAUGGGUCGUAAACCUCUUUUGUCAGGGAGCAAAGGGCGCCACGUGUGGCGUUUUGCGAGUACCUGAAGAAAAAGCAUCGGCUAACUCCGUGCCAGCAGCCGCGGUAAUACGGAGGAUGCGAGCGUUAUCCGGAUUUAUUGGGUUUAAAGGGUGCGCAGGCGGAAUGUCAAGUCAGCGGUAAAAUUUCGGGGCUCAACCCCGUCGUGCCGUUGAAACUGGCGUUCUUGAGUGAGCGAGAAGUAUGCGGAAUGCGUGGUGUAGCGGUGAAAUGCAUAGAUAUCACGCAGAACUCCGAUUGCGAAGGCAGCAUACCGGCGCCCGACUGACGCUGAGGCACGAAAGCGUGGGUAUCGAACAGGAUUAGAUACCCUUGUAA
This 465-nucleotide ribosomal RNA is filed under the name uncultured bacterium. RNAcentral describes it as "bacterial SSU rRNA". It matches the Rfam family "Bacterial small subunit ribosomal RNA", at positions 330 to 793 of the family's 1533-position model. The record is from RNAcentral.